Molecule: ribosomal RNA, 404 nt
Filed under: uncultured bacterium
Lineage: Bacteria
Description: bacterial SSU rRNA
Rfam family: Bacterial small subunit ribosomal RNA
Source: RNAcentral
CGAACGGUGAGUAACGCGUGAACAACUGACCAAAGAGGGGAUAACAUUUGGAAACAGAAUGCUAAUACCGCAUAAGACCACAACGUCACAUGGCGAAGGGGUCAAAGGAGCAAUCCGCUUUGGGAGGGGUUCGCGUCCCAUUAGGUAGAUGGCGGGUAACGGCCCACCAUGCCAACGAUGGGUAGCCGAGCUGAGAGGCUGAUCGGCCACACUGGAACUGAGACACGGUCCAGACUCCUACGGGAGGCAGGCAGUGGGGAAUAUUGGGCAAUGGGCGCAAGCCCUGACCCAGCAACGCCGCGUGAGGGAAGAAGGUUUUCGGAUUGUAAACCUCUGUCGCAGAAGACGAAGGAAGUGACGGUAUUCUGUGAGGAAGCCCCGGCUAACUACGUGCCAGCCGCAGC